This 256-nucleotide ribosomal RNA is filed under the name uncultured Pseudomonas sp. Its description in RNAcentral is "partial 16S ribosomal RNA". It matches the Rfam family "Bacterial small subunit ribosomal RNA", at positions 96 to 354 of the family's 1533-position model. Lineage: Bacteria; Pseudomonadati; Pseudomonadota; Gammaproteobacteria; Pseudomonadales; Pseudomonadaceae. The record is from RNAcentral.
CGGCGGACGGGUGAGUAAUGCCUAGAAUCUGCCUGGUAGUGGGGGACAACGUUUCGAAAGGAACGCUAAUACCGCAUACGUCCUACGGGAGAAAGCAGGGGACCUUCGGGCCUUGCGCUAUCAGAUGAGCCUAGGUCGGAUUAGCUAGUUGGUGAGGUAAUGGCUCACCAAGGCGACGAUCCGUAACUGGUCUGAGAGGAUGAUCAGUCACACUGGAACUGAGACACGGUCCAGACUCCUACGGGAGGCAGCAGGC